UGGGGAUGACGUCAAGUCAGCAUGGCCUUUAUAUCCUGGGCUACACACACGCUACAAUGGAAGGGACAAUAGGUUGCGAAGCCGCGAGGCGGAGCCAAUCCAGCAAAACUUCCCUCAGUUCAGAUUGCAGGCUGCAACCCGCCUGCAUGAAGUUGGAGUUGCUAGUAAACGCAGGUCAGCCAUACUGCGUUGAAUACGUUCCCGGGGGCUU
This 211-nucleotide ribosomal RNA is filed under the name uncultured Anaerolineaceae bacterium. RNAcentral describes it as "partial 16S ribosomal RNA". It matches the Rfam family "Bacterial small subunit ribosomal RNA", at positions 1174 to 1378 of the family's 1533-position model. The record is from RNAcentral. Lineage: Bacteria; Bacillati; Chloroflexota; Anaerolineae; Anaerolineales; Anaerolineaceae.